RNAcentral lists this ribosomal RNA (433 nucleotides) under uncultured bacterium. RNAcentral's name for it is "bacterial SSU rRNA". It matches the Rfam family "Bacterial small subunit ribosomal RNA", at positions 958 to 1392 of the family's 1533-position model. The record is from RNAcentral.
AACGCGAAGAACCUUACCUGGGUUAAAUCACGGAUGCAAGGCGCAGAGAUGCGUCCCCCAGGCAACUGGCGUCCGUGAAGGUGCUGCAUGGCUGUCGUCAGCUCGUGUCGUGAGAUGUUGGGUUAAGUCCCGCAACGAGCGCAACCCUUACCACUAGUUGCCAGCAUUAAGUUGGGCACUCUAGCGGAACUGCCGGUGAUAAACCGGAGGAAGGUGGGGAUGACGUCAAGUCAUCAUGGCCUUUAUGUCCAGGGCUACACACGUGCUACAAUGGCCGGUACAAACUGCCGCAAACUCGCGAGAGGGAGCCAAUCGGAAAAAACCGGUCUCAGUUCGGAUUGGAGUCUGCAACUCGACUCCAUGAAGUUGGAAUCGCUAGUAAUCGCAGAUCAGCACGCUGCGGUGAAUACGUUCCCGGGUCUUGUACACACCG